This 504-nucleotide ribosomal RNA is filed under the name uncultured bacterium. RNAcentral describes it as "bacterial SSU rRNA". It matches the Rfam family "Bacterial small subunit ribosomal RNA", at positions 17 to 518 of the family's 1533-position model. The record is from RNAcentral.
UUAUGGCUCAGGAUGAACGCUAGCGGCAGGCCUAAUACAUGCAAGUCGUACGGUAAAGUCCCCUCGGGGGAUUGAGAGUGGCGGACGGGUGCGUAACGCGUAUGCAACCCACCCCCGACGGGCGGAUAGCCGGUGGAAACGCCGGAUAACCCGCCAUGCGGCCCCACAGGGGCAUCCCUGUGGAGUCAAAGCGGCGACGCGGUCGGGACGGGCAUGCGUCCCAUUAGAUGGUUGGCGGUGCAAUGGACCACCAAGUCUACGAUGGGUAGGGGAUCUGAGAGGACGGUCCCCCACACUGGUACUGAGACACGGACCAGACUCCUGCGGGAGGCAGCAGUAAGGGAUAUUGGGCAAUGGGGGCAACCCUGACCCAGCCAUGCCGCGUGAGGGAAUGAGGCCCUACGGGUCGUGAACCUCUUUUGUCCGGGGACAAGGCAUCCCACGCGAUGGGAUGUUGAGGGUACCGGGAGAAUAAGCGUCGGCUAACUCCGUGCCAGCCGCUGC